UGGGGAAUAUUGGACAAUGGGGGCAACCCUGAUCCAGCAAUGCCGCGUGUGUGAAGAAGGUCUUCGGAUUGUAAAGCACUUUCGACGGGGACGAUGAUGACGGUACCCGUAGAAGAAGCCCCGGCUAACUUCGUGCCAGCAGCCGCGGUAAUACGAAGGGGGCUAGCGUUGCUCGGAAUGACUGGGCGUAAAGGGCGUGUAGGCGGUUUACACAGUCAGAUGUGAAAUCCCCGGGCUUAACCUGGGAGCUGCAUUUGAUACGUGUAGACUAGAGUGUGAGAGAGGGUUGUGGAAUUCCCAGUGUAGAGGUGAAAUUCGUAGAUAUUGGGAAGAACACCGGUGGCGAAGGCGGCAACCUGGCUCAUGACUGACGCUGAGGCGCGAAAGCGUGGGGAGCAAACAGGAUUAGAUACCCUGGUAGUCCACNCUGUAAACGAUG
RNAcentral lists this ribosomal RNA (439 nucleotides) under uncultured bacterium. Its description in RNAcentral is "partial 16S ribosomal RNA". It matches the Rfam family "Bacterial small subunit ribosomal RNA", at positions 355 to 811 of the family's 1533-position model. The record is from RNAcentral.